GGGGGCGUGGCGGAAUUGGCAGACGCAGCGGACUUAAAAUCCGCCGACUUUGGUCUUGUGGGUUCGAGCCCCACCGCCCCUACCA
RNAcentral lists this transfer RNA (85 nucleotides) under Coriobacteriaceae bacterium. Its description in RNAcentral is "tRNA-Leu". It matches the Rfam family "tRNA". From Rfam's summary of the family: Transfer RNA (tRNA) molecules are approximately 80 nucleotides in length. Their secondary structure includes four short double-helical elements and three loops (D, anti-codon, and T loops). RNAcentral also lists the same sequence under 1 other name. Lineage: Bacteria; Bacillati; Actinomycetota; Coriobacteriia; Coriobacteriales; Coriobacteriaceae. The record is from RNAcentral.